GAUGAACGCUGGUGGCGUGCCUAAUACAUGCAAGUCGAACGGGGAGUAGCAAUACUCUUAGUGGCGAACGGGUGAGUAACGCGUUGGUACCUGCCCCGAAGCGGGGGAUAACGGACCGAAAGGUCCGCUAAUACCCCAUGUGCUCGGUAACGAGUAAAGGUGAAAACCACUUUGGGAGGGGCCUGCGUCCCAUCAGCUAGUUGGUAAGGUAACGGCUUACCAAGGCGAUGACGGGUAGGGGACCUGAGAGGGUGGCCCCCCACAAUGGAACUGAAACACGGUCCAUACACCUACGGGUGGCAGCAGUAGGGAAUAUUGGGAAUGGGCGCAAGCCUGAACCAGCAACGCCGCGUGUGCGAUGACGGCCUUCGGGUUGUAAAGCACUUUUGACUGGGACGAGGAAGGACGGUACCGGUCGAAUCAGCCUCGGCUAACUACGUG
RNAcentral lists this ribosomal RNA (441 nucleotides) under uncultured bacterium. RNAcentral describes it as "partial 16S ribosomal RNA". It matches the Rfam family "Bacterial small subunit ribosomal RNA", at positions 28 to 507 of the family's 1533-position model. The record is from RNAcentral.